Molecule: ribosomal RNA, 252 nt
Filed under: uncultured bacterium
Lineage: Bacteria
Description: partial 16S ribosomal RNA
Rfam family: Bacterial small subunit ribosomal RNA
Source: RNAcentral
UACGUAGGUCCCGAGCGUUGUCCGGAUUUAUUGGGCGUAAAGCGAGCGCAGGUGGUUUAUUAAGUCUGGUGUAAAAGGCAGUGGCUCAACCAUUGUAUGCAUUGGAAACUGGUAGACUUGAGUGCAGGAGAGGAGAGUGGAAUUCCAUGUGUAGCGGUGACAUGCGUAGAUAUAUGGAGGAACACCGGUGGCGAAAGCGGCUCUCUGGCCUGUAACUGACACUGAGGCUCGAAAGCGUGGGGAGCAAACAGG